This 2217-nucleotide ribosomal RNA is filed under the name soil metagenome. RNAcentral's name for it is "bacterial LSU rRNA". It matches the Rfam family "Bacterial large subunit ribosomal RNA", at positions 14 to 2256 of the family's 2925-position model. The record is from RNAcentral.
AGCGUACACGGUGGAUGCCCUGGCAGUCAGAGGCGAUGAAGGACGUGCUAAUCUGCGAUAAGCGUCGGUAAGGUGAUAUGAACCGUUAUAACCGGCGAUUUCCGAAUGGGGAAACCCAGUGUGUUUCGACACACUAUCAUUAACUGAAUCCAUAGGUUAAUGAGGCGAACCGGGGGAACUGAAACAUCUAAGUACCCCGAGGAAAAGAAAUCAACCGAGAUUCCCCCAGUAGCGGCGAGCGAACGGGGAGCAGCCCAGAGCCUGAAUCAGUGUGUGUGUUAGUGGAAGCGUCUGGAAAGGCGUGCGAUACAGGGUGACAGCCCCGUACACAAAAAUGCACAUGCUGUGAGCUCGAUGAGUAGGGCGGGACACGUGGUAUCCUGUCUGAAUAUGGGGGGACCAUCCUCCAAGGCUAAAUACUCCUGACUGACCGAUAGUGAACCAGUACCGUGAGGGAAAGGCGAAAAGAACCCCGGCGAGGGGAGUGAAAAAGAACCUGAAACCGUGUACGUACAAGCAGUGGGAGCACGCUUAGGCGUGUGACUGCGUACCUUUUGUAUAAUGGGUCAGCGACUUAUAUUCUGUAGCAAGGUUAACCGAAUAGGGGAGCCGAAGGGAAACCGAGUCUUAACUGGGCGUUAAGUUGCAGGGUAUAGACCCGAAACCCGGUGAUCUAGCCAUGGGCAGGUUGAAGGUUGGGUAACACUAACUGGAGGACCGAACCGACUAAUGUUGAAAAAUUAGCGGAUGACUUGUGGCUGGGGGUGAAAGGCCAAUCAAACCGGGAGAUAGCUGGUUCUCCCCGAAAGCUAUUUAGGUAGCGCCUCGUGAAUUCAUCUCCGGGGGUAGAGCACUGUUUCGGCAAGGGGGUCAUCCCGACUUACCAACCCGAUGCAAACUGCGAAUACCGGAGAAUGUUAUCACGGGAGACACACGGCGGGUGCUAACGUCCGUCGUGAAGAGGGAAACAACCCAGACCGCCAGCUAAGGUCCCAAAGUCAUGGUUAAGUGGGAAACGAUGUGGGAAGGCCCAGACAGCCAGGAUGUUGGCUUAGAAGCAGCCAUCAUUUAAAGAAAGCGUAAUAGCUCACUGGUCGAGUCGGCCUGCGCGGAAGAUGUAACGGGGCUAAACCAUGCACCGAAGCUGCGGCAGCGACGCUUAUGCGUUGUUGGGUAGGGGAGCGUUCUGUAAGCCUGCGAAGGUGUGCUGUGAGGCAUGCUGGAGGUAUCAGAAGUGCGAAUGCUGACAUAAGUAACGAUAAAGCGGGUGAAAAGCCCGCUCGCCGGAAGACCAAGGGUUCCUGUCCAACGUUAAUCGGGGCAGGGUGAGUCGACCCCUAAGGCGAGGCCGAAAGGCGUAGUCGAUGGGAAACAGGUUAAUAUUCCUGUACUUGGUGUUACUGCGAAGGGGGGACGGAGAAGGCUAUGUUGGCCGGGCGACGGUUGUCCCGGUUUAAGCGUGUAGGCUGGUUUUCCAGGCAAAUCCGGAAAAUCAAGGCUGAGGCGUGAUGACGAGGCACUACGGUGCUGAAGCAACAAAUGCCCUGCUUCCAGGAAAAGCCUCUAAGCAUCAGGUAACAUCAAAUCGUACCCCAAACCGACACAGGUGGUCAGGUAGAGAAUACCAAGGCGCUUGAGAGAACUCGGGUGAAGGAACUAGGCAAAAUGGUGCCGUAACUUCGGGAGAAGGCACGCUGAUAUGUAGGUGAAGCGACUUGCUCGUGGAGCUGAAAUCAGUCGAAGAUACCAGCUGGCUGCAACUGUUUAUUAAAAACACAGCACUGUGCAAACACGAAAGUGGACGUAUACGGUGUGACGCCUGCCCGGUGCCGGAAGGUUAAUUGAUGGGGUUAGCGCAAGCGAAGCUCUUGAUCGAAGCCCCGGUAAACGGCGGCCGUAACUAUAACGGUCCUAAGGUAGCGAAAUUCCUUGUCGGGUAAGUUCCGACCUGCACGAAUGGCGUAAUGAUGGCCAGGCUGUCUCCACCCGAGACUCAGUGAAAUUGAACUCGCUGUGAAGAUGCAGUGUACCCGCGGCAAGACGGAAAGACCCCGUGAACCUUUACUAUAGCUUGACACUGAACAUUGAGCCUUGAUGUGUAGGAUAGGUGGGAGGCUUUGAAGUGUGGACGCCAGUCUGCAUGGAGCCGACCUUGAAAUACCACCCUUUAAUGUUUGAUGUUCUAACGUUGACCCGUAAUCCGGGUUGCGGACAGUG